Long non-coding RNA from Abrus precatorius (Indian licorice), 221 nucleotides. RefSeq lists it as uncharacterized. Lineage: Eukaryota; Viridiplantae; Streptophyta; Magnoliopsida; Fabales; Fabaceae. The transcript is spliced from 3 exons. The record is from RefSeq and is a predicted model, not a curated record.
GACUGGAACAGGGAACUUCCCUCACCAACCAAACCGUUAUGGCUUCCCUCUCCAAAGGCGAUCAGAAUCAGGUUCUGGUGGAGCGUAAAUCGUGUGCGAGAGUUUUGACAUUAAACAGGCCUAAGCAAUUGAAUGCGCUCUCUUUUUAUAUGGUGUCUCGGUUGCUGGAAAUUUUUCAUGAGGAUGAGGGAAACUCUGAUGUUAACUUGAUUGUCGUGAAG